RNAcentral lists this ribosomal RNA (373 nucleotides) under uncultured bacterium. RNAcentral describes it as "bacterial SSU rRNA". It matches the Rfam family "Bacterial small subunit ribosomal RNA", at positions 527 to 898 of the family's 1533-position model. The record is from RNAcentral.
GUAGGUGGCGAGCGUUAUCCGGAAUUAUUGGGCGUAAAGCGCGCGCAGGCGGUUUCUUAAGUCUGAUGUGAAAGCCCACGGCUCAACCGUGGAGGGUCAUUGGAAACUGGGAAACUUGAGUGCAGAAGAGGAAAGCGGAAUUCCACGUGUAGCGGUGAAAUGCGUAGAGAUGUGGAGGAACACCAGUGGCGAAGGCGGCUUUCUGGUCUGUAACUGACGCUGAGGCGCGAAAGCGUGGGGAGCAAACAGGAUUAGAUACCCUGGUAGUCCACGCCGUAAACGAUGAGUGCUAAGUGUUAGAGGGUUUCCGCCCUUUAGUGCUGAAGUUAACGCAUUAAGCACUCCGCCUGGGGAGUACGGUCGCAAGACUGAA